This 253-nucleotide ribosomal RNA is filed under the name uncultured bacterium. Its description in RNAcentral is "partial 16S ribosomal RNA". It matches the Rfam family "Bacterial small subunit ribosomal RNA", at positions 524 to 776 of the family's 1533-position model. The record is from RNAcentral.
UACGUAGGCAGCAAGCGUUGUUCGGAGUUACUGGGCGUAAAGGGCGCGUAGGCGGCCCGCUAAGUCGAACGUGAAAUCCCCAGGCUCAACCUGGGAACUGCGUCCGAUACUGGCAGGCUUGAAUCCGGGAGAGGGAUGUGGAAUUCCAGGUGUAGCGGUGAAAUGCGUAGAUAUCUGGAGGAACACCGGUGGCGAAGGCGGCAUCCUGGACCGGUAUUGACGCUGAGGCGCGAAAGCUAGGGGAGCAAACGGG